Molecule: ribosomal RNA, 440 nt
Filed under: uncultured bacterium
Lineage: Bacteria
Description: partial 16S ribosomal RNA
Rfam family: Bacterial small subunit ribosomal RNA
Source: RNAcentral
CCUACGGGUGGCAGCAGUAGGGAAUAUUGCUCAAUGGGGGAAACCCUGAAGCAGCAACGCCGCGUGGAGGAUGAAGGUGUUCGGAUUGUAAACUCCUUUUGGUCGAGAAGCAAAUGACGGUAUCUAACGAAUAAGCACCGGCUAACUCCGUGCCCGCAGCCGCGGUAAUACGGGGGGAGCAAGCGUUACUCGGAAUUACUGGGCGUAAAGAGCUCGUAGGCGGGAAAGCAAGUCAGAGGGUAAAUCCUAGGGCUUAACCCCAGAACUGAAUUUUAAACUGGUAUUCUAGAGAAUGGGAGAGGUAGGCGGAAUGCUUGGUGUAGGGGUGAAAUGCGUAGAGAUCAAGAGGAAUACUCAUUGCGAAGGCAGCCUGCUAGAACAUAACUGACGCUGAUGCACGAAAGCGUGGGGAGCGAACAGGAUUAGAUACCCGAGUAGUC